This is a long non-coding RNA of Cervus elaphus (red deer), 488 nucleotides long. RefSeq lists it as uncharacterized. The record is from RefSeq and is a predicted model, not a curated record. NCBI's taxonomy places the organism in Eukaryota, Metazoa, Chordata, Mammalia, Artiodactyla, Cervidae. The transcript has 3 exons.
GGAAAACUUAGAACGGACUCUAGCAUGCGCCUCUCACCGUCAGUGUGGGGCUUUCAAGACCCACAGCUGAGCCAUCACUGAAAGAGGUUGUAAGCCUGGCCCUCCCACCUCCGGAAAGGCUCCCAAACCUCUGCAGGCUCGUCCAGGAUCAAGGAGUCAUCAUGGUCUGCUGCCUGGCUCACUGACGGCUGUCUUCUCACCACAUCCUCCCAUGGUAGCGUCACCAAAAGGCGUGGGGUCCGACCGCUUGCAGUCCCAAAGCCAAUAAGCAGACCAGGUCGCAUCUCAGACAUUUUGUUCAUACUGAGUCCAAGCCAGGAUCAACAAAGAGACAACCUGUGAUGACCCCAUUCCUAGUUCUUAUUCCUGGGUGGAGAUGUGGGCCUUUCCGCAGGUGACUGUCAGGUUCCUGAUGAUAUUCACAAUGAAUUGAACGAUCACAUAGGUCUCACACUUCUAUGUGCAGCUGCUAUAUCUCCCUCACAAGA